UGCGGAAGCUACAGCUCAGGUUCUGAUGAACCUGGCUCUGAUACCAUGUGAUUUUAAAGAGAUCUCUACUCUUGUAGUAUGUGUGUGUGGAUAAGCUCCAAUGGAGAAUGAUUAGAGCUUGUUCUAGGUGAUUUAGAAGAGAGGUUGAUGAGAGUGUAUAAGAGACUUAAGAACAAAGAUAAAGAGACUUAGGAACAGAGAUUAAGAGACUAGAGAGACUGAGAGAAUAAGUGUUUCAGAUUCAUGAAGGAGAAGGGAAACCCCCUUACUCACUUAAGUGUUUACAAUCGCAUAUACAAGGCUUUUAUAUGCCUUUACAUUUUCACUCAUAAACCCUACAUCCUAAGGCUGUAAAUAAAUGAUAGAAUGGAUGGUAAGGAUGAGAGAAGACUGGUCUUGAUGUUGCUGGAGCUAGCUGGCGAAUUGAUUCAAAUAGAAGGCUCAGAUUGCUUCUUUUGAAUGAAUGGAUAGGAUGAGUCAAGGCUGUAAAGGUAAAGCACCUUUACCUUUCCAGCUCAUACCAACAGCUCACCUUAUCCAUUUGAAUCUUCCUUUGCCUCCAAGGCACUCCAACGUACACUUAAGGAAGCUUAUCCCGCGCCCACACAUUGCACAACUUGACUUGAUGCAGAACUGGAUGAAUGGAUGAGGCUUGGUGUUGUACGGUCUCUUGUACGGCUUGUACCAUCCGUACACUCGCCCUAAUUAUGCACAACACUUCCCCUCCUCUUUACUUGAUCCAUUCCUCUUCUUGAUUCGCUCAUGGCCUUAUCAUUCUCCCAAGCUUUGC
RNAcentral lists this long non-coding RNA (790 nucleotides) under Brassica napus (rape). RNAcentral describes it as "long non-coding RNA (BNAP_LNC015247)". The record is from RNAcentral. Lineage: Eukaryota; Viridiplantae; Streptophyta; Magnoliopsida; Brassicales; Brassicaceae.